Molecule: ribosomal RNA, 200 nt
Filed under: uncultured eukaryote
Lineage: Eukaryota
Description: partial 18S ribosomal RNA
Rfam family: Eukaryotic small subunit ribosomal RNA
Source: RNAcentral
GCUCCAAUAGCGUAUAUUAAUGUUGUUGCAGUUAAAAAGCUCGUAGUUGGAUUUGUGGUGUGUCCUGUCGGUCCGUGGACUCAGUCUGCGUGUCUGUACGGGUCUGCCUUUCAUGGGAUUGUUGGCUUUGUGGCAUUAGGUUGUCGCAUUGUUGAUGCCAUCUUUUACUGUGAAAAAAUUAGAGUGUUCAAAGCAGGCUU